AGCUGGGUCUCGCGCAAUGGAUGGUUGUAAAUCCCGCCAGGUCCGGAAGGAAGCAACGGU
RNAcentral lists this signal recognition particle RNA (60 nucleotides) under Nitrospirota bacterium. RNAcentral's name for it is "Nitrospirae bacterium (groundwater metagenome) partial signal recognition particle sRNA small type". It matches the Rfam family "Bacterial small signal recognition particle RNA", at positions 1 to 60 of the family's 97-position model. From Rfam's summary of the family: The signal recognition particle (SRP) is a universally conserved ribonucleoprotein involved in the co-translational targeting of proteins to membranes. Archaeal SRP consists of a 7S RNA and homologues of the eukaryotic SRP19 and SRP54 proteins. Lineage: Bacteria; Pseudomonadati; Nitrospirota. The record is from RNAcentral.